This 326-nucleotide ribosomal RNA is filed under the name uncultured eukaryote. Its description in RNAcentral is "partial 18S ribosomal RNA". It matches the Rfam family "Eukaryotic small subunit ribosomal RNA", at positions 1470 to 1796 of the family's 1831-position model. The record is from RNAcentral.
CCCUUAGAUGUUCUGGGCCGCACGCGCGCUACACUGACGAUGGCAACGAGUUUUUCCUUCGCCGAAAGGUGUGGGUAAUCUUUUGAAACAUCGUCGUGCUGGGGAUAGAUCAUUGCAAUUUUUGAUCUUGAACGAGGAAUUCCUAGUAAGCGCGAGUCAUCAGCUCGCGUUGAUUACGUCCCUGCCCUUUGUACACACCGCCCGUCGCUCCUACCGAUUGAGUGGUCCGGUGAGGCUUUGGGAUCUGAGCGGAAAGAGCGUUUCGCUGUUUCUGCCCGGAAAACUCAGUCGAACCUUAUCAUUUAGAGGAAGGAGAAGUCGUAACA